Molecule: long non-coding RNA, 3356 nt
Filed under: Limulus polyphemus (Atlantic horseshoe crab)
Lineage: Eukaryota; Metazoa; Arthropoda; Merostomata; Xiphosura; Limulidae
Description: uncharacterized LOC111088196
Source: RNAcentral
GGACCCUUAUCCUAAAGGUGAAAUAUUCCUAGGUUAUAUUGGGGAUGGUUUCUGUUUGCAUAAAAUUCUUCCAGCUGGUAUAAAGGAAUCUGGAUUUGGAUUUAUUUUGGAGACUCCAGAACGAUCAUUUGUUGUGGGUGCAGAUACAGAAGAAGAGCGAAAAGAAUGGAUGGAUGUAAUUGAGAAAAUAUUAGAGCGACCAUUGACACCUCAAGAUAGCAAUAUGGCAGCCCUCAUAGUUCGGAAAAGAGCUACGCUCACUUCACAGCUAAGUGCAUUCAAGGUUUAAGCCCUGUAACAUCUCAGUACAGUCUGUGAAGGUCCAACAUCUAGUCCAGAUCUACAGACUAAAGCAGGAAGAUGUAUCUUAGGCCCAACUGCACACACUGGACUAAAAUUUGUUUUAUUUUAUGCUUGAAUGUCUGUACAAACAAUGAGAACUUUGUACCUUUCUGAGACACACUAACUUCUUCUAGAAGAAAUUAUUUGCACUGCACUUAAGGAAAAUUAGUUUAAACCAACUUUUUUUAAUUAUUGAAGAUAGAGUUUCCAUGUCUAAUAACAGUAUAUAUUGUUUUUCUAUAUUAUGAUUACAUUGUUUAGGAAUAUCUCACUUAUAUACUUUAUUAUUGCUUUAUGUACUGUAGAAGGCAGUGUUUCCACAAGUAUUUGAUGACUUGAAUGAAAUUUAUAUUGUGGCAAUAAAUUAUUUCUAAUGUGGUGUUGCAACAAAUUAACAUUCCCUGGAUUUAUAUGUGUGUGUUAGGUGUAUCUUGACUUGACUAGAAAAGUUUGUAUUAAGUAAAAGAUUAAAUGGAAAGUGUUUGUUAAAGGUACAGUUACAAGACACUUGGUGUCAAAAGUGGUUCAUGAUUAAGCAGCAAUAACCCAAGUAUAUUUUCAUCAUUGUUGUGCUUUGGUUUCCAAAUUGCAUUAUUUAUAGGUAGUGACUGAGAUCUGAAGUUUAAUUCAGAUUAAAGGGGAAGUGUUUUGUGUUGCAAAAGUUAAAUAUCUUCUAUACCAUACCAGGUUACGUAGAAAACAAAACAGGUAUUAGAACUUGCCAAAUGUAUGAUAAUUACUGAAGAAGUCUGGAACUUGUAUUACUUAAAAUGUUUCUUCUCUUUUGAAACUUACUCACAAACACUUCAAGGAAUAUUUAUUGUAGAAACAUCGAUGUGUGUGUAAUACAUAGGCAAUAAGUUUUUUGUGUAUUCAAAUUUAGGUAUUGGAAUAUCUUCUUUUUACUAUAGCUUAUGAGAUGGAAAUACAUUGGUUUUUAUGUCUUUCUGUUUGUGUUACCAAAAUAUCUAAAAAUCCUGUCACUAUUAAGGUUUCUAAGCAUUGAGUAUGUAGAUGUUUUUUUCUCUCAACACCAGAAUUGUGAAUUUGGGAGGGGGGAGGAGAUGCUUAAGGCCCAAAUCUUAGUUUCACCACCUGACACUGAGUCGGACCAGUUUCCAGGAAUUUGACCUCUUAUCAAAAACCCUGGAAAAUGUCAUAUUUUUAUCAGAGAUAAAAAAACUUAUACAAUUUGUACAGCAUAGAAUUCAGGAGAGUAAAUUGAUAUCACUAAUGUUAUGUUCUUCCAGUGCUUGUGUAAAGUUAGAUUAUUUGUAGUGAUUAAAGAAUGACCCAAACACAAUCUAAAUGUACAUAUUUUGCCAUGUGCCAUUGCUUUUAACUUUUUGCAGUUGGAUGAUGAUGUUAAAUUUACUUGUAAAAAUAUAUUUGUCUUUCUGUAUAAAAAUGUAUCUAAAAGAGAUUUUUUGUUUACAAAACUUGUGUUGUACAUAGGAUACCAUGGACUUUCAUUACUCAAAUCAUGAACUUUAGGGAAUUAAAUUCCAAGGUUAGGAUAUCUGCUUGAAGUAUUCCCUAGGUAGAUUCUGUAGUCACAUAGUCUUUUUCUUUUGAAAUUUUUACAUAUUUUUAACCUGGUGGCAAAGAAUUUAGUUAUUAUGUUUCAGAGAACAUGACAAAUGUGCACAUUUUCUGUAAUGUCACAUAUCUAGUAAUUUAAAAUUGUUUAUAAACAUAGUUCUAUCUUUAAACAUGUAUAAAUUUAUAUAUGAAUAAUAAGUAACAUCUUUUAACUGAACGUUCAUGAGAUCGGUCCAAUAGACUGAUCCCUUAGUUGAGAAGUAAUGUUGCCAGUAAUUCCAAAUUUACCAAUUGUAUCUUCACAAAAUGUAGCAAGCUGUUAGUAAACAGUAAAAGUCUAUUGUAAACAAACAUUCAGAUAUGUAAUGAAUUAUUUUCACUAAUGAUUUGUCUGUGAAUUGAUUAAGUCAGUCUGACUCAUCAGACUCUAAAGAGUCAGUUGUGCAAGGUAAGGCUCAUGUAAAGAGUAAAAAUACUUUUUUUCCAUCAUACAGUUUACAUGUUAUAUCUGGAUAAAUAUUACAACAUCCUAAAUGCAUAUUUUUUUUAGUAUCCCUGAUAAUGUAUAUUGUGAUUUCUGUACUCUAACACAAACUGUUGUGAUAUCAGCGAUGUAGGGUAAAAUGAAAAGAUGAUAACUCUCAGACCAAAUUAAUAAUACCAUGUUGAAUCGCACUCUGUACAAGGUUGUGCCAUGUGCACUUUUACCCCCACCCAUGCACAUAAGGUUAAUGACAUUUUGAAGUCAUAUACUCAACUAAUUCUGAUUUACUUUAUUUUUUAUUUAGAAUUUGGAUCGGAGAAGUAACUUUAGUAAGAAUGUUCCAAUUUUCAGUAAAAAGUUGUAUGUUUUGAUCAUUCCAAAAAUUCAACAAAUAAACUUGAUAAACAGAUAAACUACAACUAGCAAUAUUUUAUAUCAAAAUAACUAAAUUUAUGUUUUCCCAUUCACAUUUUUAAAAGAUUGUUAAAUUUUGAAAACAAACACAUUUUUAGUCAGUGUAUCAUGUAUACUAAUUAACUGCCAAACUCAAACCCCUAUUUAAUUAGAAAAUGCUGGAGAAACAAUUUUUUGUGACAUAUUUUGUUUAUUUUGUAUUCUAACAGAAAUGUUCAUAGAUACAAAUUAAACUUUCCUACAUUGCAACUUAAAAUGCAAGGUUUUCUUCUGUUUUUAAAUAUAUUUAGUGCUGUGAAACUACUAGAUUUUGUAGAGAAAUUUUCUAUGUGCACAAAAAUAUAUAUGAUUCUGAAGUUUUUUAAUCAUUAUGGUGUAUAUCACAACUGAGAAUCAAAACAUUCCAAGAUAUGUUUUUAGAUUUUCUACAUGUGCCAAUAUUAGGUGUAUACAUAUUCAUGUACUUGGUUUUGUUGUAUAUGCAACUUAAACAUAGAGGAUGUAAAUUUUCAACAUUAACAUGUUUAUAACGGUAAACUAGAUUUUUUGUUCGUACUUAUUAUGAAGGUAGUAA